UCUGCCAUUACAUGUGUUGCCCACUGGCUGAUCCCUGACCAUCGACCUCAAAAACCUAGGACUCUAAACUGUGAAUAGUGAAAUUGCUUUAUCCCUAAAGGAGAUUUUGAAGGAACUGCAGAAUGGAAGAGAGAAGCAUAAGGAUAUGAAAGCCACAAAUAGCACAGACGAAACAGGACAUAGGACAAGAAACAGCAAAGUGUCAUAGAAUAAAGAAAAUAAAGUAUGGCACGGUUGAUGGGGAAAUUCCAGUAAACAGUAUAAAAAACACAAAGGAUACUGGUAGGGGAGCAUUGACUAAAAUAAACAUAGAAGACAUUAGGGUACACAA
RNAcentral lists this long non-coding RNA (331 nucleotides) under Homo sapiens (human). Its description in RNAcentral is "HSALNT0203194". Lineage: Eukaryota; Metazoa; Chordata; Mammalia; Primates; Hominidae. The record is from RNAcentral.